This 74-nucleotide transfer RNA is filed under the name Alosa alosa (allis shad). RNAcentral's name for it is "tRNA-OTHER". Lineage: Eukaryota; Metazoa; Chordata; Actinopteri; Clupeiformes; Clupeidae. The record is from RNAcentral.
GCAGUUGUGGCCUACUGGUUAGCGCUUCGGACUUGAAACCAGAGGGUUGCCGGUUCGAACCCCGACCAGCUGAA